This 279-nucleotide unclassified non-coding RNA is filed under the name uncultured Kickxellales. RNAcentral describes it as "sequence contains ITS2". The record is from RNAcentral. Lineage: Eukaryota; Fungi; Kickxellomycota; Kickxellomycetes; Kickxellales.
UAUCUCUCCUAAUAACAAUUUUGUGUUGUUAAUAGGGACUUGGGGUCUUAAUCUCGUCGGAAACCUUCAUUGGCAACCGGUGAACCCUUUAAAUAUAGUAAGCUCCCAUCUUUUCCACUAUGGAAAUACGCAAACUUGGGGAUGGCGUCGUAGCAAUCUUUUGUAUUGUCGAAGCGCCUACAACAUACCUCUAAUCUGCGGUGCUAAUCCAUACUAGGUGGGCGAAGCUUAACGACUGGCAAAGUGCCAUGCUCUGUUUACACUGGAGCACACGAACAA